Molecule: ribosomal RNA, 386 nt
Filed under: uncultured bacterium
Lineage: Bacteria
Description: bacterial SSU rRNA
Rfam family: Bacterial small subunit ribosomal RNA
Source: RNAcentral
GAUGAACGCUAGCUACAGGCUUAACACAUGCAAGUCGAGGGGCAUCAUGACGGUAGCUUGCUACCGUUGAUGGCGACCGGCGCACGGGUGAGUAACGCGUAUCCAACCUACCCCCUACUCGGCAAUAGCCCGUCGAAAGGCGGAUUAAUGGCCGAUGCAGUCCAUUGAUGACAUCGGAUUUGGACGAAAGCUUUUUGCGGUAUGGGAUGGGGAUGCGUCUGAUUAGGCAGUUGGCGGGGUAACGGCCCACCAAACCGACGAUCAGUAGGGGGUUCUGAGAGGAAGGUCCCCCACAUUGGAACUGAGACACGGUCCAAACUCCUACGGGAGGCAGCAGUGAGGAAUAUUGGUCAAGUGGGCGAGACGUCGUACGAACCGACGACCGU